Molecule: ribosomal RNA, 150 nt
Filed under: uncultured eukaryote
Lineage: Eukaryota
Description: partial small subunit ribosomal RNA
Rfam family: Eukaryotic small subunit ribosomal RNA
Source: RNAcentral
CCCUGCCCUUUGUACACACCGCCCGUCGCUCCUACCGAUUGGAUGUGCUGGUGAAGCGUUGGGAUUGGCACUUUUCGGUGGCAACACUGAUUGGAGCCGAGAACAUCGUUAAACCCUCCCAUCUAGAGGAAGGAGAAGUCGUAACAAGGU